AGGGGGAACAUCCCAGUGGCGGGGCCAGCUCUGCAGCCCUGGAGUCCGCUCCUGCAGUAACUCCGGAGCUCUCGGUCUGCAGGGCCUGGAGGCUCGGGGCGGG
RNAcentral lists this microRNA precursor (103 nucleotides) under Canis lupus familiaris (dog). Its description in RNAcentral is "mir-8834 microRNA precursor family". It matches the Rfam family "mir-8834 microRNA precursor family". Lineage: Eukaryota; Metazoa; Chordata; Mammalia; Carnivora; Canidae. RNAcentral also lists the same sequence under 1 other name. The record is from Rfam by way of RNAcentral.